Molecule: unclassified non-coding RNA, 329 nt
Filed under: soil metagenome
Description: partial contains 5.8S ribosomal RNA, internal transcribed spacer 2, and large subunit ribosomal RNA
Rfam family: 5.8S ribosomal RNA (bases 1-120)
Source: RNAcentral
GAUGAAGAACGUAGUGAAAUGCGAUAAGUAGUGUGAAUUGCAGAAUUCAGUGAAUCAUCGAAUCUUUGAACGCACAUUGCGCCCCUUGGUAUCCCGAGGGGCAUGCCUGUUCGAGCGACAUUUCACCACUCAAGCCUGGCUUGGUGUUGGGCGACGUCCUCUUUGGGGACGCGCCUCGAAACGCUCGGCGGCGUGGCACCGGCUUUAAGCGUAGCAGAAUCUUUCGCUUUGGAAGUCGGGGCCCCGUCUGCCGGAAGACCUGCUCGCAAGGUUGACCUCGGAUCAGGCAGGGAUACCCGCUGAACUUAAGCAUAUCAAUAAGCGGAGGA